This 492-nucleotide ribosomal RNA is filed under the name uncultured bacterium. RNAcentral describes it as "partial 16S ribosomal RNA". It matches the Rfam family "Bacterial small subunit ribosomal RNA", at positions 29 to 507 of the family's 1533-position model. The record is from RNAcentral.
AGUGAACGCUGGCGGUAGGCCUAACACGUGCAAGUCGAACGGCAGCACAGUAAGAGCUUGCUCUUACGGGUGGCGAGUGGCGGACGGGUGAGGAAUACAUCGGAAUCUACUUUUUCGUGGGGGAUAACGUAGGGAAACUUACGCUAAUACCGCAUACGACCUACGGGUGAAAGCAGGGGAUCUUCGGACCUUGCGCGAUUGAAUGAGCCGAUGUCGGAUUAGCUAGUUGGCGGGGUAAAGGCCCACCAAGGCGACGAUCCGUAGCUGGUCUGAGAGGAUGAUCAGCCACACUGGAACUGAGACACGGUCCAGACUCCUAUGGGAGGCAGCAGUGGGGAAUAUUGGACAAUGGGCGCAAGCCUGAUCCAGCCAUACCGCGUGGGUGAAGAAGGCCUUCGGGUUGUAAAGCCCUUUUGUUGGGAAAGAAAAGCAGCAGGUUAAUACCCCGCUGUUCUGACGGUACCCAAAGAAUAAGCACCGGCUAACUUCGUG